AGUAGAUGUAACUCAAGUGGUUCGGGAACUGCUUCCUGUUUUGCCUGGAAUCUCUGUGACAGUAUUGCCGGAUAUUAUGAGUCGGCUUGGGUCAAGAGUAAUGGCUAGAAUAGUUCGAGAUACCUUUUUGUAAAUACUGUUGAGCUUUAGUAUAAUUGUGCCUAUAAGUUGCAUUCUAAAGUACCUAAAAAGAUAUACUAGGAUGAUACCCGCGUUGAAACGCGGUUUUUUUUUAACUUAACCAAUAAAAAUUAUGUAUUAUAUACAAUAGAUUUGUUGUAUUAUUUAAUUUAUUUUAUUUUUAAUUUAAUAUUUGUUCAAUAAAUUAUUCAGGUAAAUUUAUGAGAAAAAGACUAGGAUAGCACCAAACCAAGUUUUUGUUCCCAAAGUAGCACUCAAGGCUCAAAAUCACAAAAAUAGGUUUUAUUAAAGAGGUAAAUAUACACUUAGGUGGGGGUAUUGGUUCUUGAAGUUUGAUGGAAUUUAAAGGAAAUAUAGUUUCUAUUAAAUUCUACUGUUAUUCAAUUAUGAAUUUCAUCAAUUCUUUCACAUUCUUGUGUUAUUGAAUUAAAGAUUUCUAUUCUGAUUUAUAAUUACUUUAAAUUCUACUGUUAUUCAAUAUUUGAUAGAUUUUGUAGUAAUGUCAAUUGAAAAGAAUUUAAUGGAAAAUGUAUUGUCAAUAUGUAAAGAAGCAAUUCCUUAAUUUUAUGAUGAGAUUUGUCAUCCUAGUAAAAUUCUAACGGUGGUAGUAUAACAAAUAUACCGAUAUUUUGAUUUGUACUCCCACCUAAAAACAAAACAAGCGAAUAACAGAAAUAUCUUUUGUAAAUGUUUUCAGAAAAUCCCUACAAAUUAGUACUUAUCAAAACUUCAAAUUGUUGUUGACAAUAAUCAAAUAACUAGAUCUCGACCCGCACAACCGUGCGGAUGAUUAUUUUUAUAUACAUAAUUAUUUAUUUUACAUGGCUAACUAUAAUAUUUAACAUAUUACAAAUUGUUUAAUAUAACAUUUUAGAGUGAAUAUACCGUGACUUUAUUCGCAAGUAAUCUUGUAUAUUAAUUGUAGAAUAUUUUAAAUAAGUUGGUAUGGUUAAUUGUAUCGUAGAUAUGCAUAUCUUGAUAUAUUAGAGGAUAUUCUUCUUAGUUGUUUCGAUAUUUUAUUGCUAAAUUUUAGGACAUUUCAAAUCAGAUUUGAGGGGAAGUUAUAAUUCGAUAAUAUUGUUAGAAUAUCUUUUUUUGAACGUUAUUGUAACAUGAUAAUGUGUAAAUUAGUUGUUUCGAUAUAAGAAAUAAUAUAUAAAAUAUAUCUUAUUUUAUUGUUGCAACAGAAACUUGGUUUUGAAAAAUCUUGUGCGGAUAAUUACUUGGACUGCACAUACGAUAUAUUGGCUAGAUGGUGAUAUGAUAUAUUACCUCUGUCUAAAUGGACCUAAUGAUAUAUUGGCUAGAUGGUGAUAUGAUACGACGGGUUUGAUGGUUCUUUUCAGGUGAGCAUGUUUAAUUUUUACGUGAAACUGACAAAAGCAAUCUGAAACAGAGGUUUUAUGGACUAUUUUAGGUGAAAUUGUCGAGCUGUUAACGACAUGUACAUUAACAAACCAGAACUGUAGAACAGAACUAAACAUAAACGAAAAUAUAUUAGUCUAUGAAGGAAAAUGAUUUCAAAACGAUGGAUUGUGUUUUAUGUUUUAGAUGGUUUACAUUUGCACUAUAUAACGGAUUUCAAAAUGAUUGUUGUGUGGGUCAAAAUUUAUAACCACUCCAAUUUUAUAGGAUCCGAUUAAUAUUAGGAAUGAUAUAUUAUGAAGCCAUAUUAUUAGAAGAUAAAUGAAUGAUAACUGAUUUCUAGGAAUAAGUCCAAUAGGUCCAUUUUUUAAAAUAUCACACAUGAAUCAAGGUUGUGACUUCUGUUUUAAUAUAUAAGAUAUAUAAGCCAUAGAUUCCAAUAAAUUCAUCUAGUGAGUAUAAUGAUUAUCAAGCAGGGACUUGUAGGACCAUUGUGUACCUCAGGUCUACCCACUGCUUAACUAGAUCUAUUGUAAGAUAAGCAAAACUUUUGGCCACCAAAAUACUUCAUCAUGUCAAUUUCUUUUUGACUCUGUCUGUGCUGUUUUCUGGUCAUUCUACAUUGUAGAAUCUACACAAUUUUCAUGUUUUAAGAAGUGAAAAUGUUGUAUAUUUGAAUUCUUCUUGUUAACAGUGGUGCUGUUUUUGUGCUACAGUUGCUUGAUACUGGCUUUUUCCAUGCUGACCCUCAUCCUGGAAAUAUGAUCCGUACCCCAGACGGAAAGCUUGCCAUCCUUGAUUUCGGUAAUGAUUCUAGUUCUAGAGUCACAUUCAGUUGUGUCUGAGAAAAUCCUUUUGUUGACAUUUUAUUUUUCUAUCCAUUGGCAGGUCUUGUUACGAAGUUGACUGAUGAUCAGAAGUAUGGGAUGAUUGAAGCCAUUGCACACUUAAUUCACAGAGAUUAUGAUGCCAUAGUAAAAGAUUUUGUCAAACUUGGUUUCAUCCCUGAUGGGGUCAAUCUGGCACCUAUAUUACCUGUCCUGGCCAAGGUUUUUGACCAGGCACUUGAAGGUGGAGGAGCUAAAAACAUCAACUUUCAGGAGUUGGCUGCAGAUUUGGCGCAGAUAACUUUUGACUAUCCUUUCAGAAUCCCUCCUUAUUUCGCCCUUAUAAUUAGAGCAAUUGGUGUGCUCGAAGGGAUAGCUCUAGUCGGGAAUCCUGAAUUUGCUAUUGUGGACGAGGCUUAUCCUUAUAUCGCUCAGGUAUUUUUAUAUGAACUCUGUAACUUUUAUCUAACCCACCGUCUUUCAUUGGACCUUUACAAAAUACUGAUUGUUAUUGUCUUCAUGUGAUUACUUUAAUACUUAGAGGCUCCUGACCGAUGAAUCUCCUCGCCUGAGGGAGGCUUUACGCUACACAAUAUAUGGGAAGACUGGCGGUUUUGAUGCUGAGAGAUUCAUCGAUGUGAUGCAAGCCUUUGAGACUUUCAUUACAGCAGCCAAAAGUGGAGGAGGAGAAGAUAUGAACGGGGGCAUGGCUGAGCUGGCUCUUCUGCAAAACCAGACAAGCAGUCGGGUUCCUAUGUUUCCAGCCAGUGCAUCCCAACCAAACCAGCCAGCUCAAACGCGAGUCGCUUUGUCUUUUCUGCUUUCCGAGAAAGGAAACUUCUUCCGCGAGUUUCUACUGGAUGAGGUACUCACUAACAAAAUCUAACCACUUAUUUCGCCUUGUCAGAAAAAUACUCUGAACUAAUUAAAAAAUGAAUGUGAAUCUAGACAAUUAACUUGUUGACAAGCUCAGAGCUACUUAUUCAUGGUGUCCUGAGUUCUGACAGAUGUUGUGAUUACUGAAAACAGAUAGUAAAAGGCAUCGAUGCAAUCACAAGAGAACAGCUGGUGCAAGCAAUGGCGGUCUUUGGAUUCAGAAACGCACCACCAAUUUUCGGUAUGGUACCUUCACUAGGACCUUUCAGACCUGCAGGACUUCUUCCAUCUGUAACAGAAGAAGACAAAGUCAUCUUGAACAAUGUUCAGAAAGUAAUCGAGUUCCUUACUGGAAGAAGCUCCAUGUCGAAUAAUCCCAAUCAGGUUAGUUUCUCUUGGACCUUCUCAUAUAAUUCUGUAUUACCAGAGUACUGAACUUGUGUGUGUUCAUUAUCAUAAAACAGGUAGUAGAUGUAACUCAAGUGGUUCGGGAACUGCUUCCUGUUUUGCCUGGAAUCUCUGUGACAGUAUUGCCGGAUAUUAUGAGUCGGCUUGGGUCAAGAGUAAUGGCUAGAAUAGUUCGAGAUACCUUUUUGUAAAUACUGUUGAGCUUUAGUAUAAUUGUGCCUAUAAGUUGCAUUCUAAAGUACCUAAAAAGAUAUACUAGGAUGAUACCCGCGUUGAAACGCGGUUUUUUUUUAACUUAACCAAUA
Molecule: long non-coding RNA, 3922 nt
Filed under: Brassica napus (rape)
Lineage: Eukaryota; Viridiplantae; Streptophyta; Magnoliopsida; Brassicales; Brassicaceae
Description: long non-coding RNA (BNAP_LNC000670)
Source: RNAcentral